AGGGAAUCUUCCGCAAUGGGCGAAAGCCUGACGGAGCAACGCCGCGUGAGUGAUGAAGGUCUUCGGAUCGUAAAACUCUGUUAUUAGGGAAGAACAAAUGUGUAAGUAACUAUGCACGUCUUGACGGUACCUAAUCAGAAAGCCACGGCUAACUACGUGCCAGCAGCCGCGGUAAUACGUAGGUGGCAAGCGUUAUCCGGAAUUAUUGGGCGUAAAGCGCGCGUAGGCGGUUUUUUAAGUCUGAUGUGAAAGCCCACGGCUCAACCGUGGAGGGUCAUUGGAAACUGGAAAACUUGAGUGCAGAAGAGGAAAGUGGAAUUCCAUGUGUAGCGGUGAAAUGCGCAGAGAUAUGGAGGAACACCAGUGGCGAAGGCGACUUUCUGGUCUGUAACUGACGCUGAUGUGCGAAAGCGUGGGGAUCAAACAGGAUUAGAUACCCUGGUAGUCCACGUCGUAAACGAUGAGUGCUAAGUGUUAGGGGGUUUCCGCCCCUUAGUGCUGCAGCUAACGCAUUAAGCACUCCGCCUGGGGAGUACGACCGCAAGGUUG
This 549-nucleotide ribosomal RNA is filed under the name uncultured bacterium. RNAcentral's name for it is "bacterial SSU rRNA". It matches the Rfam family "Bacterial small subunit ribosomal RNA", at positions 356 to 896 of the family's 1533-position model. The record is from RNAcentral.